UGGGGAAUAUUGCACAAUGGGCGCAAGCCUGAUGCAGCCAUGCCGCGUGUAUGAAGAAGGCCUUCGGGUUGUAAAGUACUUUCAGCGAGGAGGAAGGCGGUAAGGUUAAUAACCUUAUCGAUUGACGUUACUCGCAGAAGAAGCACCGGCUAACUCCGUGCCAGCAGCCGCGGUAAUACGGAGGGGGCAAGCGUUAAUCGGAAUUACUGGGCGUAAAGCGCACGCAGGCGGUCUGUCAAUUCGGAUGUGAAAUCCCCGGGCUCAACCUGGGAACUGCAUUCGAAACUGGCAGGCUAGAGUCUUGUAGAGGGGGGUAGAAUUCCAGGUGUAGCGGUGAAAUGCGUAGAGAUCUGGAGGAAUACCGGUGGCGAAGGCGGCCCCCUGGACAAAGACUGACGCUCAGGUGCGAAAGCGUGGGGAGCAAACA
RNAcentral lists this ribosomal RNA (427 nucleotides) under uncultured bacterium. RNAcentral describes it as "partial 16S ribosomal RNA". It matches the Rfam family "Bacterial small subunit ribosomal RNA", at positions 355 to 774 of the family's 1533-position model. The record is from RNAcentral.